CUCCGACUCAGAGAGUUUGAUCAUGGCUCAAGGACGAACGCUGGCGGCAUGCCUAACACAUGCAAGUCUAGGGGUAGCAAUACCACUGGCGCACGGGUGAGUAACACGUAGGUUAUCUGCCCCCAUCACAGACAUAACCCCGGGAAACCGGGGCUAAUAUCUGAUGAGGUCGCGAGAUCAAAGCUUCGGCGGAUGGGGAUGAGCCUGCGGCUGAUUAGCUAGUUGGUGAGGUAAUGGCUCACCAAGGCGACGAUCAGUAGCUGGUCUGAGAGGACGAACAGCCACACUGGAACUGAGACACGGUCCAGACUCCUACGGGAGGCAGCAGUGAGGAAUAUUGGUCAAUGGGAGCAAUCCUGAACCAGCAAUGCCGCGUGUGGGAUGACAGGGCUUCGCCUUGUAAACCACUGUCGGACGGGACGAAAGGAGGCCUCGGGCCUCUGGGACGGUACCGUCAAAGGAAGGGUCGGCUAACUACGUG
RNAcentral lists this ribosomal RNA (481 nucleotides) under uncultured bacterium. RNAcentral describes it as "bacterial SSU rRNA". It matches the Rfam family "Bacterial small subunit ribosomal RNA", at positions 1 to 507 of the family's 1533-position model. The record is from RNAcentral.